GGAGGUAUGACUCAAGUAGAGUACUUGCCUAGCAAGCAUAGGUUUGUGAGUUCAAACCCAGUAUUUCCA
Molecule: transfer RNA, 69 nt
Filed under: Dipodomys ordii (Ord's kangaroo rat)
Lineage: Eukaryota; Metazoa; Chordata; Mammalia; Rodentia; Heteromyidae
Rfam family: tRNA
About the family: Transfer RNA (tRNA) molecules are approximately 80 nucleotides in length. Their secondary structure includes four short double-helical elements and three loops (D, anti-codon, and T loops).
Source: Rfam by way of RNAcentral